GACGAACGCUGGCGGCGUGCUUAACACAUGCAAGUCGAACGGAAAGGCCCUGCUUUUGUGGGGUGCCCGAGUGGCGAACGGGUGAGUAACACGUGAGUAACCUGCCCUUGACUUUGGGAUAACUUCAGGAAACUGGGGCUAAUACCGGAUAGGAGCUCCUGUUGCAUGGUGGGGGUUGGAAAGUCUCGGCGGGUGGGGUUGGACUCGCGGGUUAACAGCUUGUUGGUGGGGUAGUGGCUUACCAAGGCUUUGACGGGUAGCCGGCCUGGGAGGGUGACCGGCCACAUUGGGACUGAGAUACGGCCCAGACUCCUACGGUAGGCAGCAGUGGGGAAUAUUGCACAGUGGGCGGAAGCCGGAUGCAGCAACGCCGCGUGCGGGAUGACGGCCUUCGGGUUGUAAACCGCUUUCGCCUGUGACGAAGCGUGAGUGACGGUAAUGAGUAAAGAAGCACCGGCUAACUACGUG
Molecule: ribosomal RNA, 468 nt
Filed under: uncultured bacterium
Lineage: Bacteria
Description: partial 16S ribosomal RNA
Rfam family: Bacterial small subunit ribosomal RNA
Source: RNAcentral